Molecule: ribosomal RNA, 207 nt
Filed under: uncultured bacterium
Lineage: Bacteria
Description: partial 16S ribosomal RNA
Rfam family: Bacterial small subunit ribosomal RNA
Source: RNAcentral
UGCGUAGGUGGCUACGUGUGUCGGAUGUGAAAGCCCAUGGCUCAACCAUGGAAUUGCAUUCGAAACUGCGUAGCUUGAGUACAGGAGGGGAGAGCGGAAUUCUUGGUGUAGCGGUGAAAUGCGUUGAUGUCAAGAAGAACACCGGUGGCGAAGGCGGCUCUCUGGAAUGUUACUGACACUGAGGCACGAAAGCUGGGGGAGCAAACA